UACGUAGGGUGCGAGCGUUAAUCGGAAUUACUGGGCGUAAAGCGUGCGCAGGCGGUUCGCUAAGACAGGUGUGAAAUCCCCGGGCUUAACCUGGGAACUGCGCUUGUGACUGGCGAGCUGGAGUACGGCAGAGGGGGGUGGAAUUCCACGUGUAGCAGUGAAAUGCGUAGAGAUGUGGAGGAACACCGAUGGCGAAGGCAGCCCCCUGGGCCUGUACUGACGCUCAUGCACGAAAGCGUGGGGAGCAAACAGG
Molecule: ribosomal RNA, 253 nt
Filed under: uncultured bacterium
Lineage: Bacteria
Description: partial 16S ribosomal RNA
Rfam family: Bacterial small subunit ribosomal RNA
Source: RNAcentral